AUACGGAAGGUGCGAGCGUUAUCCGGAUUCAUUGGGUUUAAAGGGAGCGUAGGCGGAGCGCCAAGUCAGCUGUGAAAUCCCGCGGCUCAACCGUGGAACUGCAGUUGAAACUGGCGCCCUUGAGUGCACAUGAGGAUGGCGGAAUUCGUGGUGUAGCGGUGAAAUGCAUAGAUAUGACGAAGAACACCGAUUGCGUAGGCAGCUGACCAGACCGCAAAUGACGCUCAUGCACGAAAGUGCGGGGAUCGAACAGGAUUAGAUACCCUGGUAGUCCGCACAGUAAACGAUGAAUACUUGUUUUCGGCGAUAUAAUGUCGGAGGCAAAGCGAAAGCGAUAAGUAUUCCACCUGGGGAGUACGCCGGCAACGGUGAAACUCAAAUGAAUUGACGGGG
Molecule: ribosomal RNA, 393 nt
Filed under: uncultured bacterium
Lineage: Bacteria
Description: partial 16S ribosomal RNA
Rfam family: Bacterial small subunit ribosomal RNA
Source: RNAcentral